This 859-nucleotide long non-coding RNA is filed under the name Ananas comosus (pineapple). Its description in RNAcentral is "long non-coding RNA (ACOM_LNC041145)". Lineage: Eukaryota; Viridiplantae; Streptophyta; Magnoliopsida; Poales; Bromeliaceae. The record is from RNAcentral.
UGUUAACCAGUUCGAUGAUUGAAUCACCGGUUCGAACAGUUCAAAGCAAUUUUUUGACUUAUUCGGUUUAAAAGAUUAAACUAGAUUACUUUAUAGACCCUUGAGUCGUGAUCGGAUCGAUCGAACCAGCAGAUUUGGCUUAAUUUUUAAAUUAUGGGUAAACUUCAAAUACCAUACCUUUGUGGUUUCGCACUUUUUUCACUUUAGUACCAUAUGGUUUAACGUAUAUCAAUUUAGUAACAUGUGUUUCAUUUUUCUCUUUUCGUCAGUCCCUCCGUUAGCUUUUCGUUAAAUUAUAUAUAAAAAACUUUCGUUACCCACCUACAAUUUAUUGAAUAUUUACUUUGGCAUCCUUUAGUUUUAACUUUGUCACUGAUUUAACAAAAAAAAAUAGUGACUGAAAUAAUAAAAAGAAAAAAAUAAAAUUACAGAAUACGAAAGUGAUACACUUUGGGGCCGUUUGGUUGGAUGUAGUUGCAGAAACAGUGUAGUUGGAAAUACAUGCAGUUGCAAAUGCUACAGUUAUAACUACACCUAGUCUGUUUGGUUUUACGCAGUUGCAACUGCUGCAGUUACAUUUCUUCUGUUUGGUAAUAUGAAGCUGAUAGUUGUAUUUAUAAAUUUUGUCACCUCUUCAGAUAGAGUGGUGAGAUUACCUUCACUAAACAUAAAAUAAUUAUAUAAAUUUAUUAAUUAUUUAAAUUUACUAUUUAUAAAUAAAUAAGUAGAUAUAUAUAAUAUUUUUAUAUUUUUCAAUAAUUCUUCAACUUAUUAAUCGACACAUUUAAAAUUUUUAAUUUAUUUAAUUUUAAUAUGUAAAUCAAACUUUAAAAAUUUAAACGAUUCUCUCAUUUUUUUU